UUAAACCGUCAUUUUUCUAACAUAAACACUCUAAAUUCUGGGAUUUCAGCUCCUCCACUGGGAAUCUGUUCUGGUUUCUUUCCUCUCUGAUGAGAAACUGAAGAUCGUGGACGAAACCAGACAUCUGAGGAAACUUUGAUCCACAUUUGAAACAUUUCAGAGAAACAGCUGAAGUCAGGAGAACAGUCUGGUUCUGUUUGCUCUCAAUCUAAAAAUAACUCUAUAAUACUAAGAAUCAUGAUGGAACACUAAGAACACUCCAGAACAGCUUCUUCACCUGGUUCAGCUCAGGAUCACCUGUUUACCUGUUUACCUGUUUACCCGUGUGUACUUGUGUGUACUUGUGUGUUUUGUGUGUUUUGGUCCUAUUACUGAGGAUUUUGUCAUACAUGCUGUGGUCACGUGUUAAAAUGAACACGUCUGGUUGUUGCACCUGCUUGACGUGUCAUCAGACUGGAGUGUAGCUCCGCCCAUCUCCAUCUGAGCUCUGAGCUGUGAUUGGUGGACAGGACGGUGUUGUUUAUCUCAGCUUUGGUCUCCUCCACCUCCUCCAGAUCUCUGACCUCGUCUCCUCUUUCAGCUCCAGACGUUCUGCUGUGAAUAUUUCAUGAGCUGAUAUGAUCCAUGGAGGAACCGGACACCCAGCAGAGCCCGGCUCUCCGGGUUCCUCCUUCAGGUCUGUGGGUCCAGGAUGGUCCAGGUUCCUGAGAGAACGUCUCAUUUAUUAGCUUCUAUUUCUGUCUGCUUUGGUUUUCAAUUCAAUUCAAUUUUAUUUAUAUAGCAUCAAUUACAGUCAAAUUGUCUCAAGACGCUUUACAGAACCCAUAUGCCUGACCCCCAGAGCAGCCCAAAGGAGACAGUGGCAGGAAAACACCCUUUUAACAGGGAAGAAACCUCGAGCAGAACCCGGCUCUAUAUAGGGGGGACCCAUCUGCCCCUCUCGGUCUGGAUUCCAUAGAAUCAUUUCCUCCACAGUCGACCUGAACCCGGUUAUUUAAACGUGAUUAAUAAUCUGCAGCGGAAGCAGAAAUGGACCUGGUUCUGGUCCUGGUUCUGGUCCUGCUGGUGGUCCAUAUGGACGUUUGGCUGCUCUGCUCUGCGUCACAGGAAGAGAUGAAACCCGAGCGGCCGUCUGUUCUCAGACUGUCUGCUGCUUUGUGUUGGUUGGAGACGGACCCGGCCCGGCCCGGCCCGGCCCGCCUCCUCUCUGCCUGAAUGCAUCGACGGCGUCUCAGGGAGGAGCUGGAACACUGCAGUGGAAAAUGAAACUGGAGGAGACGGCGAUAAGCCUCGUCUGUCUGCCGCUAAUCAGCAGCAGAACCUCAGAGGUUCUGGUUCUGUUCAGAACAGCCGACUAGACCGGCCUUCAGCAUCUAUUCACUCAGUUCCAAAAGGUUCUGAUCUGUGUUGAGUCUUUUAUAGAAUCAUGGAAUUACUGCAGAAUAAAGACAAUAAAGCUUCUGGUUCUCCUGGAAAACAGAACAGAUGACUGAUGCUCAAACUGCUGCUGGUUUAUCUGGAACUGAUCUGGAACUUAUCUAGAAGCUAUUCAGAAUUUACGUAGAACUUAUCUAGAAUUUAUUUAGAACUUAUCUAGAACCAAUUUAGAACUUAUGUAGAAUGUAUCCAGCUGAGGACACAUCUUCUGUUCAGGACCUCAGAAGCUCCAGCUUAGGGUUAGAACCGUGUUCUUAGAGCUGCUCCAGACCAGAACCGUUCAGUUCCCUCAGAUUCUCUGAUUGUUCUUCUGCUAAAGACCUGCAGGUGAAAAUGCAGUGACGUUCAUACAGAGCAGUUCCUGUGGAGUCAUUCUGUGGAGGAGAAGCUGGAUCUUCUUUAAACAGCUGGAUUCUCGUCAUCUGUCUCACAAAAACCUCUUUCCAUAUUCAGCAUCAUUUGUGGUGAAUCCUGUAGUUUUGAAGCCCAAAAAUCCAAACCUCAACCUUUCAGUGACUGAAAACUCUUAAUGAUCCUCCCACCAGACUCAGGUGUGUGCUGGUCAGAGCAUUGUUAGCUAGCUAGCUUAGCAUCGGCCUCAGAUUUAAGGUGACAUGUUGGAGAAAUGUGAAUGUGUCGUGGUGAGAUGCUCGAAUUGUUUGUAGACUCAGGUUUGUUUAAUCCUGAGUUUAAACCUGAACCUAAUCUUAAACCUAUCCCUAACCUAAGCCUGACCUAACCUUAACUGAACCCUAACCUAACCCUAAUCUAACCUUAACCUAAUCUAAUCCAACCUAAUGCUAAUCCUACAGUUGGUUUAUGGUUUUUUUUAUGGUUUUGUUUUUUUGAGGGACAUUAUAGAGAGGUGUAAGUAUCCCCUGUGCCUGACCACACCCCCUAAUCUAACCCUAACACCAUCUCUAACCCUAACCUAACCUAAACUUAACCUAACCCUGACCUUGACUUCUGCAGGUGUUUCUAGAACCACUGGUGGAUUCAGAGCUCUGUUCCAAAUGUUUCAUUUUCAUCUGAAGUUCUGCCAUCUAAGCCGAGCUAAAGCUAAAAUCCUGCAUGAAUUCUCCAAACAAUAAUCUCCAGGUGUUUUCUUUUACAUUUGGUGAGACGUUCAGCCUGUAAGCUGCUCUCUGAUGCUAACUGGAGACAGACGAGAUCAAAACUGGACAUCUGCAGUCGCUCUAACCCAACAUGCUGCUGAUGAAGUUCUCUGUCGCCCCGGCAGGAAUAAAAGGUGAAGUCUCAGUGCCUCCAGAGCCGGUGCUGCUGUUGACGCCUGCAGUCGUGGCUCUGCUAAAGACCACGUUAUGAAGACUGGGCUUUACGAGCGCCCACCUCUUCCUCUGGGCGGCCGGCCUUUGCAUCAUUUACAUAACCCUGCCCCUUACCCUUUGUUUUCUCCGUGUCUCCGGCUUGUUUUCUGCGCUGUCGUCACCCCGGCCUGCAGCGAGGCCGAAGCCGGCCGGCCGGCGAGCCUCUAAUGCUUCCUGACAGCAGACCGGCUCUGCUUGUGUAACGUACUGUAAGGAGGCCGGAGACACCGCGCUAAAAAUAGGAGCUGUGAAUAAUACGGCAAAGUCUUCAGGAUGUUUGGACACGCUUCUUCAGAGGGACAGAACCAGAAGCAGAACCCUCUCAGCAGCUCUGGGGUCAUGUUCUCCAGAGGAUCACUGAUCUUUUCUCGGAGCAGGUUCAUGUCUGGCAGGUUCUCCUGAACCAGAACACGAUGCCAGCUGGAGGUCCAACAUCAGGACCAUCCAUCACUUCAUAGACUCAACACAGGUGUGUUCACCUUCCACAUUCUGGGGAGGAGCAUCACCUGAGGAGACCCUGAGGUUCCCAGCAUGCUCCUUCAGCUGCUGGUGUUUGGACUAACAGCCUCCUCCAUUAGCUUAGUGCUGCUCAGAGGGGAUUUGGGAGGCAGCAUUUUGCUAAGGCGACCCAUCGACAGCCCAUCACGCACAUCAGCAGCAGGAACGUAGAAAUGUGUCAUCUCUAUUUUAAGGCCGCUGCAGACUAAUAUUUAUCCAGAAGCAGCAGAGCAGCGUAAGUGCAGGGCGGGAAAUGGGAGCAGAAAAAGAUGAAAGUCUGUCAGAGCAAACAGCUGAUUAAAGCUCUCACAGAUCUGCUAAAAACUGAGAACAUCCAGCUGCUUCACAGAAGACGUCAUCUCAGCUGCUUCUGGUCAAGGAUGAAGGUUCAGAGGGUUAACCGGAACACUAACCCUGUGAUGGAGGGUUUGGGUCUGUCCAAACACGUAAAACAUCUAAACAGGAAGUAUCCGUCCUCUCAUCACUACUCAUCCUCACCAAAACCCAAAACGAAACUGUUACUUAUUUAAACCGACAAUUCAGAAAAGUUUGUUGCUUUGCUUUUUACCUGGUUUAAAUAAGUAACAGUUUCGUAUAAUAUAUAACGACAAAAUGAACCUAAUACAACCAAAACCCAAACACUAGUAAUCCUACUGACCCUAUGCAGCCGGGUGGUAAUGGGAUUAUUAUUACAGGUGAUGGUGCCUUGUUUUACUCUGGCUGAAAACGGUUUGAUUGGUUGUGAGCGUGUCUGGGUAUUUUUGACCCCGCGGAGCAUCCCCCCAAACAGGUGGCAUCACUGCUCAUCAGACUCCAGGUGGCUUCUUUUCGUCUCUCAGCGAACAGGAGGCAGAGCGGGGAUUCUUCUGGUUUGGCCGAAGCCAGACUCAGCAGCCCAGGCAGGAGGCUUGGAGAACGGGGCUGAGGACCCAUAAGCCCCGCUGUCAGACGGUGAGCGGGAGGACGGAGGACCGACUGUGGGAGCAGUUUGUGAGCAGCUGGAUAGGAGGCUAGCGUGGCUAAUGCUAACCCAGCGGCUAGCGUCCGUCAGACUGGAACGUUUCACCGCACUCAGUGUUUGUGGACCAAACAGCGAUGUUGUCGUUUCGGACUGAACACGGGACUGUGAGCAAACUCAGCCGUGUGGCCGCGCGCGCGUGUAUGCCUGAGUGAGUCAUCACAGAGCAUAAUUGUUAUUAUUAUUGUUAAUAAUAAUAGAGCAUAAUUCUAUUGUAUUGACUUUGUGGGUUUUGAAACGGUGGGAUAACCUGAAAGGGAAAUAUUGCUGUUUAUUGUGUGACAGAGGGAUUUAGUUUAACCUCAGAACUGGUCAUUAGGACCAUCCGGGGUCACCAUCUGAACAGACUAUAACUAGUUUUGGGAAAGUUUACGGCAUUUCAUUUAUGUUUUCUUGACUCAUUGGUUGUGUAUAUAUUUCUGUGUUGUGUUAAAUCCGGCCUCUCUUUAGUUAAUUUGGCCAAAAAGUAAAACCUUCUCUGGGUCUCAUUUUAUUUUGGUAUAUUUUGAUAUCUAUUAUUUAUUUAGUAGUUUCGUUUAGCUUUACAAACCCGAGCACCCACCAAUCUAGGGGUGAUCACCUCAACAGAGAGGAUGCAUACGGGUGCUACACCUACUAACCCUACUAACCCACAUUUACACCUGACCAUGUCUCCUCUGAAUGAUUGAUCACAGACUAACAGGUAAAUCGUCCCGUUAAUGAUGGAUGAGCAACAGUCAACUCUCCGGUUACAACAAAACACCAGAGAGAGAGAGAGAGAGUGUGUGUGUGUGUGUGUGUGUGUGUGUGUGUGUGUGUGUGUGUGUGUGUGUGUGUGUGUGUGUGUGUGUGUGUGUGUGUGUGUGUGUGUGUGUGGCCUGCAAGAACACAAUGCAAAGACACAAAACAACAGAGAAUCACAGAUCUGAGUUAUCAAUGAAGUUGAUCAGUUCUGAUUGGUCGUUCUGUGUAACUGAAGGUUGACUGGAUGUUUUUAACAACAUUCACCAAAAAAUCAACCAAAAUCCAGUGAAAUUGACUGGAUUUUGGUUGAUUUUUUGGUGAAAUGAAAUGCAAAACAAUUCUAAGGAAACAUGACAGCAAAAAAAAUCCAUGAGUCCAAGAAAAGAAAAGAAAAAGAGAUGAGCAGAAAACUUCCAACAACGAUAUCCAACUAAAAUAUGCUCAUUAUUCUGAUAAUAUUAAAUAUAUCCAGUAAAAUACACAACUGGUUUUCAGGUUGUUUUUAAAGCCAGAAAAUGAACAAAAAGAGGAAUAAUCAAACAAAAAUGACAAAGAAACUAAUGUAGAACUAAUAUUAUUAAACGUUAUAUAUUCACUCUCAGCCUGGAUUAUAGAUUAUUAUUUAUUAUAUAUAUUCAGUCUAAAACUGGACUUCUGUUCUACAGAAACCUGCCUCUCCAAUCACAGGUGUGUAGUUCAAGGACCGUUGGACAGAUGAAAUGGGUCCAGGUGUUCACGGAGGUCUAGAUGUUCAUAGAGGUCUAGAUGUUCACAGAGGUCUAGGUGUUCACAGAGGUCUAGGUGUUCAUAGAGGUCUAGAUGUUCAUAGAGGUCUAGGUGUUCAUAGAGGUCCAGGUGUUCAUAGAGGUCUAGAUGUUCAUAGAGGUCUCGGUGUUCAUAGAGGUCUAGAUGUUCACAGAGGUCUAGGUGUUCACAGAGGUCUAGGUGUUCACAGAGGUCUAGGUGUUCAUAGAGGUCUAGGUGUUCAUAGAGGUCCAGGUGUUCAUAGAGGUCUAGGUGUUCAUAGAGGUCUAGGUGUUCAUAGAGGUCUAGGUGUUCAUAGAGGUCUAGGUGUUCAUAGAGGUCUAGGUGUUCAUAGAGGUCUAGGUGUUCAUAGAGGUCCAGGUGUUCAUAGAGGUCCAGGUGUUCAUAGAGGUCCAGGUGUUCAUAGAGGUCCAGGUGUUCAUAGAGGUCUAGGUGUUCAUAGAGGUCCAGGUGUUCAUAGAGGUCUAGGUGUUCAUAGAGGUCCAGGUGUUCACAGAGGUCUAGAUGUUCAUAGAGGUCUAGGUGUUCACAGAGGUCUAGGUGUUCACAGAGGUCUAGGUGUUCAUAGAGGUCUAGGUGUUCAUAGAUGUCUAGGUGUUCAUAGAGGUCCAGGUGUUCAUAGAGGUCUAGGUGUUCAUAGAGGUCUAGGUGUUCAUAGAGGUCUAGGUGUUCAUAGAGGUCUAGGUGUUCAUAGAGGUCCAGGUGUUCACAGAGGUCUAGGUGUUCAUAGAGGUCUAGGUGUUCAUAGAGGUCCAGGUGUUCAUAGAGGUCUAGGUGUUCAUAGAGGUCCAGGUGUUCAUAGAGGUCUAGGUGUUCAUAGAGGUCUAGGUGUUCAUAGAGGUCUAGGUGUUCAU
Long non-coding RNA from Acanthochromis polyacanthus (spiny chromis), 6623 nucleotides. RefSeq lists it as uncharacterized. Lineage: Eukaryota; Metazoa; Chordata; Actinopteri; Pomacentridae. The transcript has 3 exons. The record is from RefSeq and is a predicted model, not a curated record.